This 18-nucleotide ribosomal RNA is filed under the name Nemania serpens. RNAcentral's name for it is "partial 28S ribosomal RNA". Lineage: Eukaryota; Fungi; Ascomycota; Sordariomycetes; Xylariales; Xylariaceae. The record is from RNAcentral.
UUGACUCGGUUCAGGUAG